AUUGCAUUAAAGGCAACAUAUAUACUAAUAUUAGAACAGUAUGGAGACAACUAGCAUGAACUCUGUACAAGGAUUGCUGGAAUAUUUAGGAGGAGUUCCACAUUUUU
Molecule: small nuclear RNA, 107 nt
Organism: Ursus americanus (American black bear)
Lineage: Eukaryota; Metazoa; Chordata; Mammalia; Carnivora; Ursidae
Source: Ensembl